Molecule: long non-coding RNA, 2175 nt
Filed under: Sus scrofa (pig)
Lineage: Eukaryota; Metazoa; Chordata; Mammalia; Artiodactyla; Suidae
Description: lncRNA (ENSSSCG00005029724.1)
Source: RNAcentral
AUAGGGGAGGAGGUUGGAAUUUUGAAUAGUGUCAUCAGAAAGGACUUCACAGGCAUGGUGACAGGCAAAUAUAUUUCUUGACCUCAUGGGAAGUAGUUGAACAGUUUCUAUCUUAUAAAAUCAUGAAAAUUAUUUAGUUUUCAGAGUGUAAGUCUUCCAUAGCAUCUUUCAUCUUUUUGUCGGAUUGUUUACCUUUUUACAGUCUGAGUUUUAUAUUUGUGUUUUUCCUCCCCCCCCCCCUUUUUUUGUCUUUUUAGGGCCUCACCUGUGGCAAGUGGAGGUACCCAGGCUAGGGGGGUCCAAUCAGAGCUGUAGCUGCUGACCUACACCACAGCCACAGCAACUUGGGACCUGGGUUGCGUCUUUGAACUACACCACAGCUCACGGCAAUGCCAGAUCUUUAAUCCACUGAGCAAGGUCAGAGAUUGAACCCAAGUCCUCAUGGAUGUUAGUUGGAUUCCUUAACUGCUGAGCCACGAUGGGAGCUCCACAUCCUUAUUUCUUAACACAUUUACUCGAGCCUGCUCCUUCCAUGCAGUGGCUCCAUCAGUUAGAGCGCCACCUCCCUGCCCCCAUUGCUCUUGAGACUUUUGUCCAUCAGACUGGUGGCUGGCAUUUGGAGGUUUCACUUCUUUUUUCUCUCAGAUUGUGCCCGCCUUUCCAUCAGACAACUGGCACACCCUUGAAAUUUACCUGUGGUCCCCUGUGCCCUGUGAGAGAGGCCUGACCCUUGAGGCCCUGAGCCCCGCUUGUAGGGUCUUCCUCUCUGUGUUCCCUGCUUCUGGCCCUGGUGGGGGAAGGGCGAGUGGGCUCAUGGUAACCAUCCCUUGGCUGCUGAGUGGCCUCAGAGGGGCCUGCAGCCUGGCCUUUAACCCCAGCUCAGGGCUCGAGGCCCGGAAGCUACUGGGAGGCACAUUUGUGAAUUGAUCAAGCCAGAAACUUAGCAGGUGGCUCAGAUGUGUGGUCUGCACCGUCCCUCACCUGGCCUUAGUUACUGCAACCUCUUAAGUCUUCCCCACAGCCCUCUCCAUUCCUUGGUGUUGCUGUGAUUCAGGUCAGUGGUGCCCUUGCCACGUCGUGUCAGGGCUGUUCAGGGUCUCCUGGGGUGAGGGUCUCCUGGCCCCUCUCCGUGGCGGGCCCUCAGUCUCUCUCCCUCUGUCAGGGCAUCUCGCUGCCACCCCCUGCUGCUGGCUCAUCAAGGUUCCUGUUGGAUCAGGUGAUUGCGCUUUUAAAGCUGCCUCACAUGUUGACAGGACUAGGUUCCUUAGCGGGACAUUCGCCCCCCGUCCCCUUUCUCCGGUUCUGUCCCUCCAACUGCCCUCCAGUCCCCACCUCUAACAGAUGCUGCCCAAGCAGGCUGCAUUAUGCUGCUGUGUUUUCGCACGGACUUUUGUCCUUUACUGACUUUUUACCUCCUGGUUGGCCCAGUGAAGUCAUCCCAGUCCUUUAGCACUACUUCCUUUCUCAGUGUUGACAGACUUUCACUCCUGCCCGGUGUCAUCAGGUACCAUGUGUACCUGUUCUGUGGCGCUUCUCGAGCAGCUGGAGUUAUUUGUGUCUUUCCCCUUCCCUGCCUGGGAAGGUGGGUUGGAAUUGUACUUGUUAGCCCAGGGUAUGCUGGGUACCCGGUCUACGGUUGUUGACUACAUCCAUCAGUGACUCUGAAAUCUGAUGUUGGCUGCUAGGUGGAUGGUGCCUCCAGGUAGAGAUGUAGCAGUCAUUUGUUAUGCAUUGUUGCUCACUCCUGCUGUAGAUAUCCACUGAUGCAGCAAGAGCCUGUAGGUGAAGGCAAGACUUUUCUAAAAUUUAUGUGGAAAGACAAAGAAACUAGAAUAGCUAAAACAAUUUUGAAAAAUGAGAAUAAAGUGUGAAAAGUCAAUCUGUCCAAUUCCAUAAGCUGCAGCAGUCAGUUCCGUGCGUUGUUGCUGUAGGUAUAGACACACAGAUCAAGAUUCAGGGCAGAGGUGUUCCCAUGGUGGUGCAGCAGAAACGAAUCCGACUAGGAACCAUGAGAUUGCGGGUUCCCUCCCUGGCCUCACUCAGUGGGUCACGGAUCCGACAUUGCAGUGAACUGUGGUAUAGGUCGCAGAUGCGGCCUGGAUCUUGGCAUAGGCUGGUGGCUAUAGCUCCAAUUAGACCCAUAACCUGGGAACCUCCAUAUGCCACAGGUGUGGC